This 398-nucleotide ribosomal RNA is filed under the name uncultured bacterium. Its description in RNAcentral is "bacterial SSU rRNA". It matches the Rfam family "Bacterial small subunit ribosomal RNA", at positions 30 to 419 of the family's 1533-position model. The record is from RNAcentral.
AUUGAACGCUGGCGGCAUGCCUUACACAUGCAAGUCGAACGGCAGCACGGGAGCUUGCUCCUGGUGGCGAGUGGCGAACGGGUGAGUAAUACAUCGGAACGUACCCUGAAGUGGGGGAGUAACGUAGCGAAAGUUACGCUAAUACCGCAUAUUCUGUGAGCAGGAAAGAAGGGGGAGUCGCAAGACCUCUUGCUUUAGGAGCGGCCGAUGUCGGAUUAGCUAGUUGGUGAGGUAAAGGACUCACCAAGGCGACGAUCCGUAGCGGGUCUGAGAGGAUGAUCCGCCACACUGGGACGUGAGACACGGCCCAGACUCCUACGGGAGGCAGCAGUGGGGGAAGUUUUGGACAAUGGGCGCAAGCCUGAUCCAGCCAUGCCGCGUGAGUGAAGAAGGCCUUC